CCUACGGGAGGCAGCAGUGGGGAAUAUUGCACAAUGGGGGAAACCCUGAUGCAGCAACGCCGCGUGAGUGAAGAAGUAUUUCGGUAUGUAAAGCUCUAUCAGCAGGGAAGAAGAUGACGGUACCUGAGUAAGAAGCCCCGGCUAACUACGUGCCAGCAGCCGCGGUAAUACGUAGGGGGCAAGCGUUAUCCGGAUUUACUGGGUGUAAAGGGAGCGUAGACGGUGGGACAAGUCUGAAGUGAAAGCCCGGGGCUCAACCCCGGGACUGCUUUGGAAACUGCCUGACUGGAGUGCUGGAGAGGCAAGCGGAAUUCCUAGUGUAGCGGUGAAAUGCGUAGAUAUUAGGAAGAACACCAGUGGCGAAGGCGGGUUGCUGGACAGUAACUGACGUUGAGGCUCGAAAGCGUGGGGAGCAAACAGGAUUAGAUACCCUUGUAGUC
This 440-nucleotide ribosomal RNA is filed under the name uncultured bacterium. RNAcentral's name for it is "partial 16S ribosomal RNA". It matches the Rfam family "Bacterial small subunit ribosomal RNA", at positions 338 to 795 of the family's 1533-position model. The record is from RNAcentral.